Molecule: long non-coding RNA, 856 nt
Organism: Juglans microcarpa x Juglans regia
Lineage: Eukaryota; Viridiplantae; Streptophyta; Magnoliopsida; Fagales; Juglandaceae
Exons: 4
Source: RefSeq, a predicted model, not a curated record
GUCUACUCUGUUAUUGCCACUGUCUCCUUGCGCCACCAACAUCGUCCGCAUCCACCAUGUCACCUGCGGGCUUAGCAUGAGAGGAGUAUGCUCGGCCAGCUAUGCAUGGAUUUGAGGAUUUUUGUGCUUACGGGCUACUCUGUUAUUGCCAGUGGUUCCUUGCGCUACCACCAUCGUCCUCGUUCACCAAGUCACAUGCGGUAAGCUUUGUUCUUUCUAUCAUUUUCUUCUAUUUCUCCCUCAAAACAGAAGUUGUUGCUUUGCUUUUGUGAAUUUCUUGUGUUUUUCAGUUAUAAAGUCUGGAUUUUAGGGCUUAGAAUGAGAGGAGUAUGCUCGGGCUAUGCAUGGAUUUGGGAUUUUUGUGCUUACGGUUUGAUCUGAAAUCAUCAGCAGCAAAGGAAGACCACAUGGUGAUUUUGAAAUCAUCAAGAGCAUGCCUGGUGAACAUUAAUACAGCCAUUCCUUGCAUAUCCAAUGUUUGCAUUUUUAUCUUCAGGUAUACAGGGAAGCAUGAAGCAACACCAACUUGGUGGCUUAAGUUGGCAUAGUCAUCUCUGCGCUUCUUGGCUAUGUGAGUUAGAGUUUAUCUCUUCUCCUGCUUUUAGUUUCAACCAUUUGUUAGAUUAUACAAAAUCUAGUUGAUGAUUUGUUGAUCAAUUAGAAAGUUGUGAAAAUAAGUGUUUUGUUUAGUGACCCCUAACCUCUGAAUUAUUGAUACAUAAUUUUCUUUCAGAUUUAUUCACCUCACUUGGACUCACCUCCUCCACGAUGGGUUCAUCAUGUUGCACACAGAUUGCAUCAGAAUUAAUUCAAGCUUUGUAAUGGUUCACAGAGAAGAUUGAAUGAAUACGCUUUU